GUGAGGUGAUGAUGAAGUUUAUCCAUUCUCUGAGUGCAGCGGCACUGCCCUCCUGCAGCACCCUGGUCCCUGUUCUAGGGUCAGGGUGCUGUGUGGCCUCCAGAGAGCCCUGCAGUGUCCCAGUGUCCUACUGGGGGCUGCUGGUGCCUGUGGGUGGCUGCCUGCAGGAGGGGGGUGUCCUGUCAGGGCUGGAGCCCCCUUUGUGGGGGCUGCAUCCCCACCAAGACGAGGGAUGAUGUCUGAUCAU
Molecule: small nucleolar RNA, 247 nt
Organism: Nothoprocta perdicaria
Lineage: Eukaryota; Metazoa; Chordata; Aves; Tinamiformes; Tinamidae
Source: Ensembl